Long non-coding RNA from Antechinus flavipes (yellow-footed antechinus), 360 nucleotides. RefSeq lists it as uncharacterized. NCBI's taxonomy places the organism in Eukaryota, Metazoa, Chordata, Mammalia, Dasyuromorphia, Dasyuridae. The record is from RefSeq and is a predicted model, not a curated record. The transcript is spliced from 3 exons.
GCCUGGAAGUUUUGAAGCAAGGGAAUAGCAGUUUUUCCAGUCAGUGUAGACCAGUCAAUGAAUGCCUACAUACCACUUGAGUUCUCCAAAGAAAUACUGAAUUUAAUCUUCUCUAACAGAGAUAUAUCAACUAGCAACUACACUUCUCAUCCUAAUGGAGUUAUCUGGAUUCAGUGGCAAGACAUAGAUUUGGAUGACUGAAGAUGGCUCUGGAUAUAGUGGGAAACCCUUGAAGAUCUUUAACAGCAGCAAUAUCCAUCACUCAUUAAGCCUAGAAUGUUACAGAUGAGGGUUUUCAAUGAGUGAAGAAUACAGGUCUAAAUUUGAGUGGAUCUCCUACAAACUGAAAUCUCAUGAAAU